UCAAUUUAAGCAAGUUAUAAAAGCGGAGGACCGAUCGCGCAAAUUGUCUAUUUGAAAGAAAUGCGCGGGUCGGGUCACACGGGUUAAAGGCUUAAACGGCGCCGUUUUGAUUGUAUAUUAAAACCAAAAUUUUCCUUAAAAAUUUUCAUUUUCUGUUUUAAAACAAAAGAAGAUGAAAAAAAAGGGGGGGUGCUCUGCUAGGGUUUCGACCCUAGCACCCCCCACGUCGCCGCCGUCAAAAAUCUACCGCCACUAGGCCGUCCCUUGGCCUCCGACGACGCUCCGGCGACACCAGGUAAGCCUCCUUUCUCUCCCUCUUCGUUUAUUUGUUUUAAAAAACAAAAAAAGAACCUCCAAAAAAACAGUAAAAGUAAAAAGAAAAACAAAAUAAUCACCUUCCAAAAACUUUCUUUUCUAUUUCUUUUCUCUUUCGUAUUUUCUCUUUAAUUUCGGUACAAAAAUUUUCUCACCCCCCUUAACAGAUUCGAUUGGCCUUUAUAUAGCCCUUACUAAAUCCUUUUACAAUUGUUUUGCUGCGUGUAUAUCUUGUUGUGUUGUUCGUGGCUUGCAGGUGUGUGAGCGUUGUGCGGGUGGACGUGCAAGCGAAGACGUGGGGCGGUUACUGCGUUGUGCGUGGUGAAGUUGCUGCGAUAGAGAACAUGUGCGGCGCAGGGAGAAUUAGGGUUCCUAGAAUCAGUUUAGGAUUAGGUUAAUUGGGUUAGGCUAAAUUUGGGCUUGAAUUAAUGAAAUUGGGCUAUAUUGGGCCGAAUAUAUUUGGUUUAUUGGGCUGUGCAAAUGGUUUUGGGCCCCGGGCAACAAUUGGGUAUCACAAUUGCGGCAUUUGAUAUUUUAACAGUUGAUAUUUUAACAGUUUGCUUGAUUUAAUAUCGCGACUAUCAUUUUUAUGGUUUGCUCGAUUUAAUAUCACGACCUUCGAUAUUUUAAUAGUUCGCUUGAUUUAAUAUUGCGGUUAUCAUUUUUACGGUUCACUUGAUUUAAGAUUGCAACUUUCGAUAUUCUAACAGUUCACUUGAUUUAAUAUUGCGGUUUUCAUUUUUACGGUUCGCUUGAUUUAAGAUCCCGACCUUCGAUAUUCUAAUAGUUCGCUCGAUUUAAUAUCGCGGCUGUCAUUUUUACGGUUCACUUGAUUUAAGAUCGCAACCAUCAGUUUUCUAAUAGUUCACUUGAUUUAAUAUCGUGACUGUCAUUUUUACAGUCCGUUGAUUUAAUAUCACGACUUUCAGUUUUCUAAUAGUUCACUAAUUCACAAUCAUGAUUGUCGUUUUUAAAGAUCACUAAUUUCUUCGACAAGGUAAGGGACAUUUUUACUUACGGGAAAUACAGUUCGCAGUAUUCUAUAACUUGUUUCCUUAAAACCAUUUCUCAAAUAACCUUUUAACUUCAGUACCACACCGUCAGACAAUGGAACUUACUCAGUAGAGUUUCGAGUUAAAACUUACGUAAUAAGCCUCCAAUUACAUGUUCCAUGUUUCUAAGUUUGUUUAGAAGAAUUACUUUAUAACUCUUUUUCGACAAUGUGGGAGACAAAUUGUUAUACAAUUAUAAUAAAAUAUAAUAAUCUAGCCCGAAGUUUAACUCGGAAUUUCAUCCGAUUAACCUCCAUAUAUAUAUUUUAAAGACCCUUUUUGAGGGGGACAGUACUCCAUUUUUCAUUAUCUUCUUCCCUGCUACUUGACCAGGACACUAUCCCCCUCCUUAUUGACCUCUGUUGAUAUUGUCUAUCAAUAAUUAGUGUCGAUACCGUUUUUUGAAAACAAAAAUUUUAGUUGUCGACUUUUAAAAAUAAAACUGGAGUCGCCACCGAUCCUUUAUUAAGGUGUGACCGGCCCACCUUAAAAACUAUUUUGGUCUGUGAAUUUUGAAAACAGGUUCGGGAGUCAGUUACGCACGAGGAAGGAUUAGCACCCUCGUAACGCCCAAAAUCAGUACCAAAUUGAUUAUUUGAUGUCUUUUGUGUCGAAAGUUAAAAAGAUUUUAAAAUAAGCUUGAAUGAUGAAAUUUGCAAAAGGAUAUUCAAUUGUUCAAGUCAUGUACAGAAAUCGAGUCCCAAUACGUUAGGGUACAAUUCCUCAUAAUUCCCCAAACUUGAAUAUCACUUUUAUUUUAUACGAAAAUCUUCAUUUCGAGAAAGUAACAUGCCACACCCAAUACGUUAGGGCACAACAAGUUAAGUUCCCAAAAAUGAUUUUUAUGCAUUUUGAAAAAAUGUUCUCAGUCAUUUAAGACUGACAAAGAAAAUCAGAACCCAAUACGUUAGGGCUCAAUUUCCCUCGAAAAUCCCAAACUUCCGAAAAUACUUUUAUUCAAAAAAAACCUUUAAAUCAAGAAAAUAAUUUUGAUGAAUGGUUAAAACCAAAAUAUAUUUCCAAAAGGGUAUGCUAAAGUGCUUAUAUACAAUAUGAUAUGGAUCCUUUAAUUUUCAACAUACACGAAUAAAUAUUUGCAGAUAUAUAUAUAUACAAAUACAAUAUAACAAUAAAGUUGCAAACAUAUGUUCACAUAUAUCUAACACAUAUACAAGUAUACAUACAAAUAGAAGGAAUAAAAUAUAUCCAAUAAGACGAACACAAAAACAUGUAUUCAAAAUGAAACAAAAAGGAAAAAAAUGCAUAUGUAUAUAUUUACAAAAAGUAAAGUAAAACAAAUAAAAUAUAAAAGAUAUAUAUGUUUUGUAAAAAAAUGCAUGUAUUUAUAAAAUAAAAAAAAUAUGUUAAAAAAUAUAAAAAUGCAUAUAUAUUAUAUAUAAAAAUAGGCGUAUGUACCAUAUAUAAAAACAUUUAUAAAUAUAUUAUGUAAAAACUGUGCGUGUAUGAAUAUAGAGGUAAUGAUAAUAACUAUGAUAAUAAAUAAUAUAACAAUAUGAAACAAUGAUAAAUAUUUUUUUAAAAAAAUAAAAAAACAAAAUGGACUAAAUUGAACUUAAAAACAAAAAACUGGGCGAAUUUUGAAUAAAAUUUUAAAAGAAAGGGCCCACUUGAACACGCGCGUAACAAAGGAGGACCAAAAGGGGAAUUAUCCCGUCCUUCCAAAACGCCGUGCAGCGAGGGACUAAAUUGAAACAAAAAUAAAAUAUGCGACCCAAUUUCUAAAAUAAGUAAAAAGGAUUUAAUUAAAAAGCGUUGCAAAAAAGGAAGGGCCAAUUGCGCAAAUAGACCAUGUGACGUCAGAGCGCGCGGAUCCUCCCCUCCGAGUCGGGUCACCGCGCGGGUCAGGGCCUGGACGAAACGGCGCCGUUUUGAAUAUUGUUUAAACCCAAAUUUUUACCCUUCAAAAUCAGUUGAAACCGAAUGGGAAAAAAAAUAAAAUAAAAUAAAGUCUCUGGUGCUCUGCUAGGGUUUCUCCUAGCUUCCUUGCACCGCCGUCCUAUCAGCCCCCACCGCAACUCCAUGUAAUCGGAGACUGGAGGGGUGCCACAUCUGGGUUCUCAAACCCUUCUUAGCAGCUUCCGAGGGCCAAGGUAAGUCUCCUUCCCUUUACUCCUUUUAUUUUUUGCACACAAAAGCACAAUAAAAAAACUUCAAAUAAUCACCUUAAAAAAACUGGUAUUUUACUCUGUUUUCUCUUGAUUUCUCGAUUUCUUUGUGUAUUCUCUCUGUCCACCAAAAAAAUCCCCCUUUUUACAGAUUCAAAAGGGCCUUUUAUAGGCCAAAAAUAAAAUAAAUCGAGGGAAAAAACAAUCUUGCUUGCUAUUUUUUCUCUUUGGACUCUUUGAGUCCGUUUUUCAGGUGUUCGCGGAGACUACGGUGCUGGGGAGGGAGUGGGCUCCGAGACGUGCGCUGAUUGGAGGAGCUAGUCCCGAAACGUGCGCCGAUCGGGGUCUAUUGGAGGCGGGGAGGCUGCUGCGGCUAGGUUGAGCAGCGCUAGGGUUUCUGCUUUCAGUGUUUUGGGCUGGGGUUUCUAUUGGGCUAGGGUAAUUAUUGGGCCACUUAUUUGUUGGGUUAGGAUUGUUUUCUUUUUGUGUUUGGACCCAGGCCGAUUGGGCCUUACUACAAUUAGCAUUAAAAAGUAUAUAAAUUUAUAAUACUUUAAAUAGAUUAAAAGCAAAAUUUCUUUUUUUUUCCCUUUUCUUUCCUUUAAAAGAUGAAAUUAACCUUCCACAAUAACAAAUUUCCAUUGUUUACCUGCCUCCAGAAUUCUCAAUUGUAGCAUAUUAAGCAAUCGGGCUGGUUUUAUAUUAUGUUAACUAUAUAUCUAUCUAUCUUUAUAUAUAGUAUUUAUUAAGUGUAUAACUAAAUUAGUAUCACUCUCAAUGGAGUCAUUAUUUCGAUCAAAAAAUUAUAAAAAUGUCUAUCUGUAAUUAGAAAAUUAUAUUAUUCGAAGGUAUUUUGACUUUUUCAUUUUAACAAAACUAAUUAAAAUAUUAUAUGGUGGGAUUUGAACCUGCACCAAUUAGAUUACUAAUCUAGUAAACUUACUACUCAACCAAAAUUUCAUUUUAAUAUAUUCUAUAUAUAUUUGUUUUAAUAUACACAAUUUAUUAUCUCCAUAAAUUAUAUAUAUAUAUACACUAAUAAUAUUGCUUGAGUAUGUCUCAUAAGUCAACUCGAUACUAACUUAUAAUUAAUGUCAAAACCAUGAUAAACAAUUAUAGUGCAUUUAGUAUUUUUUAUCUGAUGUAUUUAUGUAUUUAAAUUUUGCUUUACUUAUAAUUCAAUCUAUUUGUUUAAUAUGAUUAAUUAGUUUCAAACCAUACAUUUCAUUGUUUAUUUCAUUGUUUAUUGUAUGUUAGCUUCAAAUGGGCAUCUAUGUUUCAAAUAUGUGGUUUCUACAGGCGUACGCGUGUAAUAAGAUUUUUAGUACUAACAUUGUAUUUGAUUGAGUUACUAUCACAAGUUAACUCAACACGGACUCAAAAUUGAUAACAAUACACUGUUAAACAAUUAAAUCUAAUCUUUUUUAAUUUUAAUAUCGCACAUAUUUUAUGUGUAAUUAUUAUUAAUUAGUUUCAAGUCAUACGUUUCAUUAUUUAUUGUAAGUUAUUUUUAAAUACACACGUGUUCUUAAUACGAGAUUUCCACACGCAUACGCAUUUGAUAUGAUUUCUAGUACAUAUUAAGUGUUAUAUUGAAUUGAUGUCAUAAGUCAAUCGCAUACCAACGUAGUUAUAAAAUUACUAAAAUAUACCCUAUACAAAUUAAUUUAUAUUUUUAUGAGGGUGUUUUUAUCUUUUAAUAUGAUAUUGUCUUUUAAUAUGAUAGAUCAAUUAAAAAUAAUCAUAAUAAAAUUACACCCAAAACACUAUGCAUGAUAAAUAAUUAAUUUUAUCAUUAUAAUCAAAAUAUCAAUUAAUUUUUAUGUAACUUUUUAAUAAAUAUAUUUGUUACAUAAUUUUUUAUAGAUACGAGUAAAUUAUAAUAUAUUUUCUAGGACAUGGAGUUAAAAAUCAUUAGUAAAAUCCCUGCCUAAUUGAAAUCACGAGAAUUUUACAUGAUUCUAGGUUAUCCCUCCUAAGAGUAGAUUUCUUAGAGUUCAUUCAUGCCAUCUUUUUAAUAGUUUUUCAUCAAAAAGAUAGAAGAAAGCAAAUGCUAGUGUCACGGCCCGCAGUUCAAAGCCCGUGACCAUCACACUAAAUGCAUCUAAUGGAGGUCUAUUGCUCAGAUGGGGAUCAUUUGGCCCACGAGAACUGGCCUGAUUCAAAAAGAUAUUGGAGAAGCUUGUCAGAUUAAAGCCUGGUUGGCCCGAUAGUGAAGAGAUGGUGUAACAGCCCGAUUUUGACCCAAAUCGGAACAGUGGUUUCGGGACCACAAAUCUGAAUUAAAAAAAUAUUUUAAUAUUAUUUUCUGUGUUUAUUAUGUGUGAAUUUGAUUGUGUGAAAUUUCUGUGUUUUAAUUUCAUCGUUUACGUGUUCGAUUUAAUAAAAGGGUUUAAUCGCGUAAAAUAAAAAUUUAAGGGUUAAAUCUAAAAGUACCUAAAUGUUAUUGUCUUUUUAAAUGGGAGGAUUUAUGAUGCUAUAAGACCAAAAGUUAGAUAGUGGGUGGCAUUUGACAAGAGUAACCUUAAUAUAUAUGUUAGACAAAAUUAUUAGUAAAAGGUUAAUAUAGUAAUAAGGUAAAUAUUAACUUUAUAAUAAAAUUAAGUUAUGAAAAGAUGAAUGUGUUCAUCUUUUGUUAGCCGAAUAUUGAAAAGGAAAGAAACAUACAUGGUUUUUUAAGUUUCGGCACUUCUUUAGCUUGGGUAAGAUCAAGAAUUAAAGAAAUCGGACUUGGAUCGGGGAAAAAAUAAAGUCGUCGAUUAAUUGUCUCGUUCCGGUUUAUCGCUGUUCGAGGUAAGUUUAUAAGCAAUUAGAUGUUAAAAUUUCUGAAUGAAUGUUAAUUACAUAUAUGCUGAAAUGAAAUAUGCAAUUAUAUAUAUAGCUAAAUGCGUUUUAGUUCGGAAAGUAAAAAUAAACGUGAAUGCGAUUUAUCGAUAUUUGGCACUAAGUGUGCGACUAUGGAAUAGCUAUGGCUAUAUGAAUGGCACUAAGUGUGCGAAAUUAAAAUAAUGAUGUUGGAUAAUGGGCACUAAGUGUGCGAAAUUAAAAUGAUGAUGUUGUAUAACGGGCACUAAGUGUGCGAUACCGAGAGCAACUUGGUUAGAUGAGAAAGAGCACUAAUUGUGCAACUUCAUUAUGGCCUCGAUCAAUUAUUUAGUACAUGAUAGUACAAGUAUACAAUGGAUGAAUAAUACUUGAUGUCAAGGUAAUUAGGUUAUUUCAAUUGUGAAGAGAAAAAUUUAUACGAGGUAAAUGAGAGUAUAUGAUUAUAUGAAAGUUUAUAUUCGGCCAAAUGGUAACUAUAUAGGAUUUUAUAAUUAUGUUUUAUAUACAUUUAUUUAUGAAUGAGUACAUUUGGUAAAGAUAGGGUAUAUGAAUUGAAUAUGAGAAUAACUAUGUUAUUGUUUAAAGACCUAUUCGGCCAAGUUGAAAUUAGUUCAUGGUUUCAUAUUUGAUAUUUAAGUUUUACAAGCUCGAAUAUGUAUAUAUACGAAUAUGAUUGCAUUAUUUGAUUUUAUUAUUGAAUUGUUAAUGUCAUUGAAUUGUUUAAUUUCUUAUAACUUACUAAGCUAAGUUAGCUUACAAUGUGUUGGAUAAUUGUUUUGAUGUAUAGAUUUUGGUGAUCGCUACGUGUUCGGGGAUCGUUAGCUAAGCUCAUCACACUAUCGAUAUCUUUUGGUAUUUUGUUAAAUUUUUGAAUUUGGUCGUAUGGCAUGUAUAGACUAGUUGUGGACUUUAGCUUAAUUUGAUAGUGUGGGUGUAUUAAAGCCAUGCGAAAAUGGCUUAAUAUCCUGUCUUGUUUAUUUUGGAUUGGAUUAUGAAUCAUACAUGACUUGAUAAAAGUUUAGUAUUUUAUGAGUAAUAUUUCACAUGUGAAUAUUAUGUGUGGUUUAUUUGGUUGGUAUCAAAGUGAAUAUAUUAUAUGAUCUAUAAUAAAUGUAAUUUUAAAAGAAAAUAUAAAAAAAUGUUAAUGUCUAUGUAUAUGUUUGUGGUUGUUUAUUUUGUUUGAUAGGUUAAAGAGAUUACCAAGAAUUAUAAAAGUGAUAUUUGUUUUGUAUCUUGGAUUAAUAAAGUAAUGAAAUAAAAUAUGGAAUUAGGAAGUGAAUUAUGUUGAGUAUUUGUGAAUAUGCAUGAAAAUAGUUAUUUCGUUUAUAUGCCGUUAAAAUGGUAUAUGGUUUGAUGUUUAAACAUUGGCUUUUGUUUCAUAAUUUGAUUAGUAAAAAUAGGUUGUUUUGACAUUUAAUGUAAUAAAAAUAAAUUAUAUACUUAUAAUAAGACAUGAAUUUUGGUUGUAUAAAUAGAACAUGUAUAUUUGUUUUACAUUUGGGAAUGAAUUGAUUUGGUUACAGGAGAAGCUAAUUACCGAAUACACGUUAAAUUAUUUUGGACAUUUUUUUUAAAGAGAUGUAUGUGGGUUUGACAUUAGUAUGUAUAAAAUACUUUUAUUGUAUAAUUUAAUUUUGGUAAAUAAUACUUGGCUAAUCAUAAAUUCAAAUUAUAUGGAAUUUUAUUUGGCUAUUAUGUGCUUGUAUAUUCUUUUCGAAUGGGUGAAUUGACAAAUUUAGUAACUCUGUGACUUGAUUAUUAUAACGUAAUUAGUUACUCUAUUUUAUUUAAAUAGGCUUGGUCAUAAUAAUAUAAAAUGCUAUUGAUUAAAUAUUUUAUGUGCAAUGAUUGAGUUUGUUUAUUUAUUAUAUCUUUUAUUAUUAAUGCUGAUUAUUAAAUUAUGAUUGAAUAAAAAUAUCAAAUCGUGCUAUGUUCGGUAAUGCCUUAUAACCCUAAUCUAACGACGGAAACAGGUUAGGGGUGUUACAGAUGGCAACUUAGGCUAAUAUGGUAACUAAUCUUAGAAGAUAGAGAGAAUCAUAUCUUGUAAAGAUUAGAUUAGAUUAGAUUUGAUAAGGCAUAUCUUGUAAAUCCCUAAAAUUAAGGGAUAUGGAUUAAUCUCGUCCGUCGAUGUAAUUGUAUUUUGACCGUCGGUUUUGGGGGAGCUCAACUAUAAAUAUAGAGCUUCCCCCUCAUUUGUACUCACUCCUAAAUUGUUUCAUUAUUCUUUGUGAAUAAGAAUUGAGAGCAUUUACUCAAACACUUUGCGAGCGCUCUUUCUGUUGUUCUCUUGUAGCUUCUUUUGGCACAAUCGCUUCCGCUAUACAAAUUGGUGCCUUGGAGGAGUUUUAAGGAAUCCUCACUUUUAGGCUUAAAGGCUGACUUAGGCGAGUUUGAAGCAAACGGAUCGCCUAAGGCCGCACGGUUUGCGAGACGAAAGGUCUAGCCCCGUGACAAGUGGUAUCCGAGCCAAGGUUUGAACCAAGUAAUAUUCGAGUUGUUGGUUCAAAGGCACCGUUGGGAUGUCAAGAGAAGAGUUUGAACAAAGGUGGGGGAGGAAGUCUUUGAGGGAGAUGUUGUCGGCUGUUGAGGAACACGUGGGGAAACUUGAGGAGUCCAUGGAGGACGCCAAAGAGUCGAGCAAUGCGCUUAGGGAAAGCAUUGAUGACUUGAGGGAGCAAUCCAGGGACUUUGUUACCGAGUGUCUCACUUCCCAAAGGGAUAACGUGCGAGAGUUGCUAGAUUCCCAAAGGAAGAAGCUGACGGGAAGGAACGAUGCUCUCGAGGCCAUGAUGAUGGCUUUGAAGGAGGAAACAAUGGCCACGACGAGGGCUUUGAGCACAAGAAUAGAGGAGCUCGAAGAAGAGCUGGCCUUGUGUCAAGCAGCCGUGGGGAAAGGAGUGGCAAAUGCAGCACUCAAUAACGAGGAUGUCCCGAAGCCGAAAGAGUUUGUGGGGACAAGAUAUUCAUGCGAUGUGGACAAUUUCUUGUGGAGGAUGGAGCACUACUUCCGUGCCAAAGCAUCGUGGAUGAUGCAGUUAAGGUAAAUACUGCUUCAAUGUUUCUUACUGACAUUGCGCUUUUAUGGUGGCGACGUAGGACCACAGAUAAAAGGCAAGGGGAGAUUGAGACGUGGCAAGAGUUCCAAUGCGAGUUGAAGGGACAGUUUUACCAGAGUUUGCCGAGGAAGAAGCUCGGGCAAAGUUGCAAGGUAUAUAGCAAUGGGGCAUAGUAGGGGAGUAUGUUCGAGAGUUCAAGGAACUCAUGCUCCAAGUUUUAGAGGUGACCGAAAGAGAAGCAUUGCUUGCUUUUCAGAAUGGAUUGAAGUCGUGGGUCAGACAGGAGGUGGAACAAAGAGGUGUCCAAAAGCUGUCGGAAGCCAUGACGGUAGUUGAGUCCGUGGUGAAGCUUGGUCUAGGGAAAGACAAGCUUGAGUCUUCCAAGUCCGAUGGAAGGGGCGUAUGUGAAAUGGAUCACAAGGAAAAUAGUGUUGAUAGCAAUGGCAACGGCGACAAUGGUGGUAAUGGGAAACCACGAGUUGGGAAAAAGAAACCCAAGAGGAAAAGGGACAAGCUAAAAUGCUUUCUCUGCGACGAUCCACACAUAUUGAAGAAAUGUCCGAGGAAAUCCACGCUUAAGGAGAAGCCGGUGGGUAAGGCCUUGGUACUUGGUUUGAGCGCAAUGGGUGUCAAAGCCAAGGAGGUCGAAAGCGAGAAGAAGCCAAUGGAGUGCUUCUUGUGUCAUGGUCCGCAUAGGUUGCGGAAGUGUCUGAGGAAGUCUGUCAUCGAGGGGAACGAUGAAGUAGACAAUGAGACCAAGAAGCUUGGUCGAGCAAAAGCCGAAGCCAAGAGGGUAAAGAGGAGUAAAAAGAAGCAAGUAAAAUGCUUCUUGUGCCGUGGUCCGCAUGAGUUGCGGAACUGUCCAAAGCAAGCCGAAGUCAAAAGAAAGGCAACGUCUGAGCUUGGUGAGUCAUCGGAGGGGCUUACACCCAAGGAAGAGGUGAGUUUGUCAUCGAACUUAGAGGAAAGAGUUGCGAUGAAAACAGUGAAGCUGAGACCAAUGAUGCUCAAGUUGAGUGAAGCUGAGACCAAUGAUGCUCAAGUUGAGUGGUGCAUCAGACUUCGAAGGAAAAGAAGCGAUGCAUGUGAGACAGUUGACCAGAUUAAAUACGAUGAGUAGGACGGCUCGAGUUUAGAAGUGACGUAAGCCGAGGCAAAAAUCCCGAAGAAAGGGAAAGGCUAAGGCGUCGAGACGAGACCGAGGCGAAUCAAGUCAGUGCCAUUCAGAAGUCGCAACGAGGGCAUUGAGAGAAUGGGUGGGGGAGAAUGUCACGGGCUGCAGUUCAAAGCCCGUGACCAUCGCACCAAAUGCAUCCAAUGGAGGUCUAUUGCUCAGAUAGGGAUCAUUUGGCCAACGAGAACUGGCCCGAUUCAAAGAAAUAUUGGAGAAACCUAUUAGAUUAAAGCCUGAUUGGGCCGAUAGUGAAGAGAUGGCAACUUAGGCUAAUAUGGUAACUAAUUUUAGAAAAUAGAGAGAAUCAUAUCUUGUAAAGAUUAGAUUAAAUUUGAUAAGGCAUAUCUUGUAAAUCCUUAAAAUUAAGGGAUAUGGAUUAAUCUCGUCCGUCGAUGUAAUUGUAUCUUGACCGUUGGUUUUGGGGGAGCUCAACUAUAAAUAGAGAGCCUCCACCUCAUUUGUACUCACUCCUGAAUUAUUUCAUUAUUCUUUGUGAAUAAGAAUUGAGAGCAUUUACUCAAACACUUUGCGAGCGCUCUUUCUGUUAUUCUCUUGUAGCUUCUUUUGGCAUAAUCGCUUCCGCUAUACAAAUUGGUGCCUUGAAAGAGUUUUAAGGAAUCCUCACUUUUGAGCGUAAAGGCUGACUUAGGCAAGUUUGAAACAAACGGAUCGCCUAAGACCGCACAGAUUGCAAGACGAAAGGUCUAGCCCCGUGACACUAAAAUGUGCCAUGAAGAUGAUGGUUGUGAUUACGUCAUUUUUUAGUACGGCCGACGAGAUCGCACAUAGCCUAAUCUAUUAGAGCUUCUCCAGCAACAUAUUCAUUUUAUCUUUUUACUCGUAUUGUUGAAUAAUUUAUGCUAUCGCAAGCAUUUUCUUAAAGAAAAACACAGAUAGUACUAAGAUGGUGUAAAAUUAAAAAGCAGAUCCUAAAAUCUUAACUAGGUAUUGGUUUUAGCACGUAUAUGUAUUGCUUUGUUUUUUAAGCACUACUCAAGUUGGGGUGUAAACAUAUGGCAGUCUAGCAAGAUUAUCAUCUUUUUCUAUUGAUUAGGGAUUAACACUUCAAAUGCACGCUUGUUUCUCAUUUGACUUACAGGAUUAUGGUGCUUGAUCCAAGGAUCAUUGGAAAGUUGCACUUCUGUUCCCAGAUGCAGGAAAAGCUUGACGUCGCCUAGCUUGAGGAAAUUGUUUAGAUCCAUCGUCUAUUUGCAGUCGCCCCAUUGCUGAACUUUUCUUCUUACCACCAGACUUUGCAUGGCUUCCUGAUUCUGUCUCUGCAUCUUCUCCAAACUUAAUCUCUUUCCUGGCUGCUUCAUAAUCAAAUGGCUUUAUUUGCAAAACACCACUAGCUUCUUUUGAUUUCUUCACUUUAACUGCUUUUCUGUUUUGAUUCAUAGACUCGAAGCACUGUUGGAAGCUGGUAGAUAAAUCGGAUAAAGACAUAGUCUUAUCUUCUUUUUCCGUUUCAGAGGAAGGUGCCAUACAACUCUCCUUCCCAGGUGUAUCAUUGACUUCCGGACUACCACUACCAUCAACUUGUUCAUCCUUUUUUGAAUUAUCUUCUAACAUGAUAAUAUCUUCUAAUGUCGACGACUCAGUAGCUACCACAACAGGAGGUUCUUUGGGCUGUGGUGCUUCUGGAAAUUUAGUUGGCUCGUUAACAGGAGGUUUUGACUGCUCUGCUGUGCCCGAGAAUGAGUGAAAUGAAAGAUUUACUGAAGAUCUGAUCUGCGCCAACUUACUAUCUUCCUUCUCCUAGAUGACGACAAUAAACAAGAUAGCAAUGAAUUACUUUCCACAAUAUGCACAAAGGAAUCAAAACUAAAGUAAUCGCAAUGAUGGACAAAUGCGACUGUCAUGGACUGUGAUGGAGCAUUUACACUGGUUUCAAUACCGCAACAAAAUCAAAAGCCACAACAGCAAAAUAGAGGAAUAACUUGACUCACCUUUUUCUCCAUAUCAAAUUUCAUCUUCGUGGAAGCAUUCCCCAGAAGUGCUCCAAAGCCACAGCUUGGUUUCUUUAGAACCUGAAUAGUUGCUCCAGUUGCCUACAGGUAAUAGGUAUUUUAUCCAGCGGCUACUCAUCAGGAAAAAAAGAUCACCAUCUACAAAAGUAUUAACAACUUACCAUCUUUGUUGAAGGUGGAAUAACUGUAUGGGCAUUUGCAUCUCCACUCUUUCCCGAGAUGACAAGAUUUUCUCUCGCAUACAUUGAGCUACCAUUCACAUGUGGCUCAAAAGAGAAUCCUUCUUGUCUUUUGUCUCUGUCAAGUUGAGUAAUACUGCUUCCAAUCUUGAUCGAGUCGUGUUUAUGUUGCAGAGAAGCAGAUUGUGAACUUAUCCCAUCAGGUCCUACUACAGCAUCAUCUAUGAUUCUUGUUCUAUCAUUUGCAGUUUUAAAGUCUGUAGGAGUCACAGGAAUUAAGACCUCAGCUCCCUCUUUAGCUGCUAUAUGUUGUUCUGAUGCCUGCACAGUAGAAACCUUACAGUCAUCUUAACAGAUAGUAAUUAUAAAAUCAACAUAUUCCAACCAAUUGUAAGUUCAAUGAAAUAAACAGUAAUGAGGAAGUAGCACUUACCAUUCUUAUCAACCCAUUCUCGGGCUAAGAUAAAGUUUCUAAGGCUUAUUCGAUGACAUUUUAUCAGACUCAUGUAACUGAAUCAAUCAAUUAGCACACUUCAUGUUUGUAGCUUUCCUAUGUUAACAUUAUGAUUCACUUGAUUGAUUUUGUUUUAUAAGUCAUACAAACAGCCUACUACAACCCAAAAUGCUUUCAUUUUUACUUCUGGACAAUGAUCACAAUUCACAACCCAUGUGAUGACUAAAAGAAAAAUGAGAUAAUAAUACAUAGAACAGAUUUAACAAAAUACAUUAUAACAAUACGAUCAGGGUUAUCAAAUCAGUGUAAUUAAUCUUACAUUUAGCAUACGUCCCAUUUUAAGUUGUUGAGCAGCAGCUUCAAAUGCAACAGCAUUCUGCAUAGCAUGCCUGAUGAUGCUAACAACUGCACCAAGAUUUCGCUCCACAUAUGGGUGUCUAGAUUUCAACAAUUGACGUAACUUGUGAGCAGCUACAGGCAUCUGCUUGGCUUUUAGCAGUAAGAAAAACAAAAAGUGCUUCAGGAAAUAUACCAACAAGCAGUAUGAAAAAAGAAGAUAAAUAUACUGGAAAUUGAUAAAAACAAGAAAGUUCCUACCGAUUUCAAGAAGCGUUUUGUUUGGCAAUACAUAACCAGUACUUUCAUCCUCUGCACGAGCAAUAAUGUCUCGCCAUUCACAAAGCCCCUAUAAACCAUUUAGGUGAGACGCAAGAUUAAGGGAUAUCAUCUAUUUUUUACUAGUAAGGCUAUUGUAUAUCAAAUAUGUUCUCUGAAUUAAAAUUAGACAUUUCUUAUGAUUUACCAACCAAUCCAUGUGUUAUCUUAAAAGUAAACAAAGGGCCAAGUAGAUAUGAAAUCAACAAAAACUUACAGCAACAACUGCUAGCUGCUCAGCAUUGAAACCAGCCACCUGCAACCUAUAUUAAAUAGAAGAAAAAACAAAGUUAUUUAGAAAUUAUGUAAUAUAUAUUUAAAUCAUGUAGCCUUAGCAAGUAACAAACCCAUGUAUAUGGAGAUAUGAAUUCUCUGUCAGGAGCUCUUUCCCAUACAGUUGUGUACAUACAUCAGAACUUCGCUUGUAGACCUGCUAGCAACAGAACAAUUGCUACUACGAUGACGGUCAAUAACAAAAAACAGAAAGCAACAAAGUUCAUAAAUUCAUGCAUCCAAGUAAACUAAUUUUGAAGGAAGAUGAAAUAGGCAAGAAAAGUAACAAAACAUAUACACUGUAUGCAUUUUACUCGAUGAAACCAAUGAAGGUAUCCAAGAAUCACAUUAUAUUGAUAUGGAUAGUUGAUCAACAAAUAAAUUUUCAACACCUAGCCUCAGUUGUAGGUUAUACACCGAAGAUCAAAUAAAAUAGAAGGUCAGAAGCCAGUAGAAUGUGGAAAGGAACACAGCUCUCACAUGAAUGUAACUAAGAUUAAGACUAUCAAAUCUCUAAGCUUCUGUUAACCUAGAAGUGUUAGCAUAUGAUAUGGCAUGCUGUUAUAAAUGUAGAAAAUGCUGUGAGCUAUCAUUUACAGCAUCAUACCUCUACCAAAGGAGCAUCCAAAUGUUCACCUUCCUGGGGCAUUGAUAACAAUUUGAUUCUCAUUAAAUCAUAAAUGUACAGUAAGUAGUGUGUGUCUUCUCUAGCGUAUCUGGCAUAAAAAUGGUAAUAAACAGAAACAAUUAAUAGACAGAUAACAAUCAAAGUUUCCUCUUCAAUAAUUGCAAUCAGAGUGACAGAACCUUGAAAUUUUCUUCAGAGUAAUAUGUUAGUUCAAAACAUAAAUAAAAAGCACUGUGUUUUUACUUCAUAUUGAUUAAAAAGUCAAAAUUAACGACUAUUCACAUCUGUGUGUUUGAAUUUCUUCUCAUAAAAAAAACAUAUAAAAUAUCAGUAAUGGUGGUCUUACAGAUUUUAUGGUUAAUUUUUUCCUUUUCUGACAAGUUUGAUGGGGUUAAGUCAGCACUACUUUGAGCACAGGAAAAAUAAAGAUGUCAUGGUUUGCAUAAAAUUGUUCAAAAGAAAUGAUGCUGCAGGCAAAACUAAGAAACAACAGUUUGUCAUAAAAACUAUGUCAAAUUUACAGUUGAAGUAAUGCUUUAUUUUUUUCUCUUUCUAUAAUUCAUUUUUUAAAAAGGAAGUGGUCAAUAGCAAUCAAUCAUUAGCUUUAAUGACAUAUGCAAGUGCAGCAAUUAGACAUUAUUUAACUAGCAAGAGAGAGUCAGGCAGCUGAAAGGUAAAAAAGCAACGUUACCUGAGCAUUUCAUCAGGAAGAGGACGCAAUCUCCAAUCUGCAUUCUGGUACCUACAUUGAGUCAACUAAUCAACCUUAAGGAGAUAGGAUAGGUGAUGAUCAAAGAGGAGAGAACUAGCAAGUAUAAGGAAGACGAUCAAAUAAAUUUAAAUAAAAACCCACUCUUUGUUGGCUGUAACUCCACAAAAAUGUUGCAGAAGAUGCUCCAAACUAUUUCUUUCCAAUUUCAAGACCUUUGAGGCCUGAGAAACAUGCAAAAUACAUAUUGGUAAGAACCCAACACAACAUUUAACUUCAAAAUAAAAACAAUCAAAUCAUGUAUUUAUUAAUUGCACUCAAAACUAAGCCUAAGCAUAUAUAAUCAAGACAUGGCACUUAGUGAAUGUCAAUUAGGCUCAAGAAAUCUGUGUGGGUGAUAAUAUUUCUAAGGCUAUAACAUCUAAAAUGGUUAAGAUAGUAUGUGGUAACUUUAUCAAUAAGUUCUUAUAAGCUUAGCACCAUUGUCAUCAUCCAUAAAACUAGUUAAGUUAGUUCAAUCAUUUAAACCACAUGUAAAGAGUUUUCAUGUAUGGUCUUUGUACCAAUUUCCUUUCCCCUAAGUCAUUGUCACACUGCUAAUUAACUCACAAAUAAGUUCAUAAAAAGUGAAUUGUUGACAAGGCCCACAUAAACUUAGCUUCGUAAAAUAUACCAAUAAAACCAAGAAUCUAACAGAAAAUUCUCAAAUUAAAUCCUCAAGUUCAUAGAAGUAGAAACCUGUCCAGUGUCAAAGAGAUUGCACACAUAUAUGCCAAAGUCUCGUUGAAGCCACACAAUAUCCCUGUCUGUUCCAUGCAUAACCUAUGUGAAUUAAGGAUAUCAAACCAUGCAAUAAGCUAAAAAAAAAAAAACUAUCAAGGGUACCAACCUUUUUCUUGGUGGGAUCCUUGAAAACUUCCCUAAGAUAUGGGCCAACAUGAAUUCGAAGCUUCAAAGUAUCUACAAUAAAAUCCUCAGUUCUAGUAGAAAUUUGCAUCAAGCAAGUUAGUCCUUGAAAAGAUCGAUAUUGGUUAUGCUCCAAAUCAGCCUGAGAAUAAUUACAGAGAAAAUGAACGACAGGCAAAGAGGUAACAUAUUAUGAGAAUACAGAAAAUUAAUCCUAUAUUUGAUGCAUACAAAGUCCAGUGUAACUGGUACCCCUGAAACCAGAGAUGCAUACACCCUUCUUCAGACCAGGUGAACAUUCUAUAUCUUACUAUGAAGCAAGAGCAAAACAUGCAUCAUCACAUAAAGUCCUAUUAUAAGUUGAAUUUUUACCGCAAACUCUUCCACACCGCGUAACUUAGCUGCUAAAUCCUUCAAAUCUUUUACUUCCUCAACCAGCUUAAAUGAGGUAGACUCCAUUGAUGGGGGUUUGAUGGGCUGAAUAUCUGCAAUAUCUUUUUCCACAAAAUCCAUAACAGAGAGGUUCUCCUGUAAAAGGGCAAUAGAAAUGUUUUUUCUCUUAUUUCAGCAAGCAACACAAAUUAACAUUUAACAGGAGAUAAACCAGAAAGUUUUAGAAGCUAUUGUUGAACAUGGUUGGAUGUGUGUGAGAUUUUGAGGUAUAAGAACAAUACAAAAAGUGAAAUUUUAUCACAUCCAUAUGUAAAUAUUAUUACUAAGGUAUCUCUCAAGAACAUGGUAACAUUCUUAAAAACAAGUGCAGCCUUUCCCAUCUUCUAAUUACUAUUAGCAACGUCACAAUUUACCCCAAUAAGAACAUAAGAAAGACGACCUUGAUUACAAGAUACCUUCCUACAAACCAACGUAAAUCAGAAAUACUAUCACUUCAAUGAACUAUUUUACUGAAAUUCAUUUUUUCUCUUUUCCUUUUAACCAUGCAAGGUGCCUUUAACUCUGGAGAACUUGAAAAAUUACAGUUAAUUCUCCUUAUUCAUCUUUUUUGUCUCCAUGGGAAAGAUUUCUGAGCUAUGAAACGUUCAAAAUAACUAUAUUAAUCACUCUUACUACGUCUUGUACAGAAAUUCAUUUUUUUUUUCCUUUUCCUUUCAACUAUGCAAGGUGCCUAGAAAACUUUAAAAGACAGUUAUAUUCUCCUUAUUCAUCUUUGCUGUCUCCAUGGGAAUGAUUUCAGAGCUGUGAGAACGUUCAAAACAACCAUAUUAAUCACUCUUGCUACUUCUUGUACAGAAAUUCAUGCCCCGGAAAAUAUACAGGUGUUGUAUCACUCAAAGAAAAUAAAAGCACCAAACUUAAUAGCCCAGCAAUUCUAAUAAAAGCAUUUCACUUAUGUCCAACUAUUCUAAUCCUGAUCACAAGCAUCAAACUCCCAAACCAGUGUCAUUAAGGUAUGUGCUUAGGUGCUGUGACUUAGCAUCAGAUGAAAAUGUGCUAGAGGCCAUUUAGGCCAAGGCUCAUUGAUCAGAAGCACACUUGGUGAGUGUAGGGACUAGGGACACCUUUUUGUAAAGUGGUUAAUGCAUGAAACCCUGCCUCAUUGAAAUUCUCUCUAAUUUCUUUGAUAGUAAAGAUGAGACAAUAUCAAAAUUCUACAUCUUAAUGUAUAAAUAUUCAACAACAAACAAUGAACAAAAAAAUCAACAACAAACAUGAGACCGCAAGAAACAUGCAUAUUGGUCAAAAAAGAAGAAGAAGCAUUUUUCUAAGAUAAAUUGGACCACCUUUUGAAUUCAUUAUCAGAAUAUCUUAAGCUUUUUUUUUAUAUAUAUAGACAAAGAUACACAAAACACAUACAUAGACAUAUUCCUCAGUUUACUCGAGGAAGCGCUUUUUUGCCCUUUGCACCUCGGUAUAGAAAAAUUAUGAAGUUAUCCGACAACAUACGAACCUCAACACUCAUUGAACUAACCAAACAAAAAUGAAACACUGUGAGGUUAUCCUAUAACAUACGUAACCAACUAAAAGCAGAAAUGUUGUGAAAGCAUUUAGGAAACAGUUAUAACAUAGUGAUUAACCCCAAAAGAAAAGAAAAGACAGAACUCCAUAAAAGACUGAUUAAACGGGGAAACAAAGACCAACCAGUGGAUGAACAAAACGCUGCCCAUCCUCACUCCUCUGCAACCAAACAUGUUCAAAAGGCUGAUUCGAAUUAUUCACAAGUAUAUUAUACUCUUCCUGAGGCUUCCGUAUCGUUGGUAUAUGAAAUGGCACCUUCGCUUUCCCAGUCGUCCCCGUAGCCAAUGCCUCUUUCUUCACCUUAACUCCAGAAGAACCCGAAAACCCACCUUCCUUCCCACUCACUGACACACCAACCGAGUCACUCACUAAACCACCGUUAAUUUUCUUCUUCUUCUUCCCGUAAACCAACUGAAACCCAUUAUUGUCAGGAUCCGACCCAAUAAACCGACCCGUUUCCUCUUCUUUCUUUCGAAUCUUAUGAAAUUCGUCGAUGGAAACGUCAAAUCGUUCCAAAAGUUCGUCGUUAAUAUCAACGAGCCAAUCAUAAGCUUCAUCAUCGGCUAUGCUGUCAAGGUUGCUAGGGAAAUUGAUGGCCUUGUUGGCGCCCCAUGUUCUAGCCGAAGCGCCAAUGGAUUCGAGCAAAGAAUCGGAUGUUUUGGCGAUUUGAUCGAUGGGAAGCUUGAAAUCGGAGAAGUUGUUGAAGAAAUGAAAGUCUUGAUUGGAAGGGAGGGUUGUAGAAGAGGAAGAGAGUGAAGAAAGAGAAGAAGAGAGAGGGCCUAGAGCUAAUGUUUGAAGAAUUUGAGAAUUUUCUGAAGGUUGAGAUUGGGCUUCCAUUGUUAUCUGAUCGUCGUAGUCGUUCAUCAUUGUUUUAGGGUAGAAAAAGCAUAUUAGGGUUUUAGAGAUUUUUGGUUUUCUUUGGGUUAAAUUCUGCUAUUAGUCUUUACACUUUAUGAAAAUUGUGGAUUUUGUUUUUAUACUUUACUUUGAUCAAUUUUAGUCCUUAUACUUUUUAAAUUGGUAAAUUUUAGUUAUUACAAUAUUCAAAGUUUGAAAUUUUAGUCCUGAACCAAAUAACAACAAUUAAAUUUGUUUGGUUAAACACAAUUAUCAGUUUUGUAAUAAGCAUACACUUGUAAAUUUAGUUCAUAUUCUCCAACUAAGUCAUUCUAAGUCCCUAUACUUAUCAAAAUUUAAAAUAUCAGUAUUGACAAAAAUUACAAUCGUUAAUCCAUUAACAUGAUUUUUAGUAAGGAAUAUGUGAAAAUAACAAGUUAACAUGACAUUACACAUAUAAUAAUAUAUUUGCUUAAUCAAAUUUUAGAAAUAGUAGAACUUAACUUAAUGAAUUUAACAGUUAUCAUUUAGAGAGGACUGAAAUUUUAAAAUUUAAAAAGUAUAAAAACUAAAAAGGUAACACUCCUAACCCGAAUUCGUCGCCAGAACAGGGUUACGGAAAUAUUUACAAAUUAUACAUAUUUACAGAACAGGGUUACGGAGCAUUACCGAAAUUUACAAAUUAAUUUUCAGACAUUUCAUUUCAUCUAGCAUUCAUAUUUGAAACCAACCAAAAUCAAAAUAUUAAUGAGCCAACGUUGGCUAAAUUAACUUAUACAUGCCAUUAUAACUAGAAUCAAAUCAUCCAAAAUUACCGAUAAAACCAAUGGAUAGUGUGAUAUAUCUCCGACAAGUUUCCAACCCAAUCGAGCUUCCGAUAAUUUGUAGGGUAAAUAAAAAAAAACAAAUACGUAAGUAAUGAAUGCUUAGUAGGCUCAUAUAGUCUUUAAUCAUAUUAAUUCUUUUAAAAUAUGAAAUCUAUACAUAUCAAGGAUAACCCAAUAUUGAUACCACAAUACCCAUGAAGCUAUAUUCAUCAACUUACAAAGUGAAUAAAUCCACAGUAUCACUUAAACAUAUUAUCCCAAGCUUAGUAGGAUUUUAUAUUACUUUAACUCUUGAUAAUUUCUUUAUUUUCACUUGAAUUUCUUUACUUUCCACGCUUGUUCCAUAUGCAUGUUACACAAGUCAUAAACAUAUCACUCAACCAUGGUCACAAGAUAGUGCAUUUACCCAAAGCCUUUCCCGAACUGAUCACAUGAUAAGUCAUUUCAUAAGAAAAUUGCUUAAUUUAAACCUUAAUACUUUUUCAUGAGCAGUAGCAUAUUUUCACUUAAAUACUUACCAAUUCAAUGCAUCAUAUAAAUAAUUAUAUUACCAUUCAAGACAACUCCCGAUAUUUUACCUUUCGAAGAACAACUUACGGAUAUGAGUACAUCGUUUUCAGAAGCCCGAAGGCUGAACUUAAGCUCAUGAGAGCUACACAGAUAGUAAACACGAAAGUCGCAACAAAUUCUGAACCUCGGUUUACUUGGGUAAUUUGCCGUCAAUUCAUCCUUUACAUUUGUAAUGCCAUAACUCAGUUAUGGUAUUAUCCGUCAAUUCAUCCUUUGGUAUAGAAUGAUUGUACUCAAUCCCGCAUUCAAUCCAAACUGGGUAUUAAAUUCGAUAAUAUAUUUCCAAUAAUAAUUCAAUUCCAUGUUUUCUAUUACCCUUAUUAUUUUCUAUAUUUAUCCCGUUGAAUUUCUCGAAAAUUCGAUGGAUUUUCAGAGGUACACUUUUAGUGUACAAAUUCGGGCACGUCAAUUCAUAUUCAUGUGCGCACAUUUUCAUUUUAGAGAGCAUACUCCCGCGAACCUCAUCCUUACAGUGGGAUUACCAGUCUAGGUUAAAUCCCCUGCAACGAAAAUUUACUCUAAUGAGCUUGGAUCUGAAUUACCAGUCCAGGCUAAAUCCCUUGCAACAACAAUUUACUCUAAUGAGCUUGGAUCUGAAUUACCAGUCCAAGCUAAACUCAGACCCUAAUUCGAAUUACCCGUCCGGGCUAAAUCCAUUUUCCACAUAUUCUUCUAGAGGGCUAUAUCAGGAUAGGAUCACCCGUUCGGGCUAGAUCAUUUUUACCUUCAAUUCAUUUUCAGAGAUCCAUCGAUUUUUUUUCCAUUCAACCGGGAUUUAUUCCCCUUUUUUUUCAAAUAUAUCAAUGUUUCAUCAAUUUUCAUACAAUGAACAUUCAAAUCAUAUUCACAUCAAUAACAAACAUUUCAAGUAUUUAAGAAUAUAAUUCAAGUUACACGAACUUAUCGGGCUAAAUUGCAGAAAUACCAAAAUUUAGGGACAUUUUGAUAAUUUUUCAUUUUCCUUGAAUUUCCACCCAAUCUUGAUCUAAAUUAAUAUUUCAUUCAAUUUAUUAAUUUAAAUAAUAAAACAAUUUAUUUCAUGCAAUUUGGUCAUUUUUGACAUUUUUACAAAAUUACCCUUAAAAAUUUACUUUUAUUCAAUUUAGUCCCUAAACCUAAAACAUGUAAAUUAGCUACUUUAAAAUAAACUCAUAUUAGCUGAAUAUUCACAUAUAUUUUUUCUCCUCCUCCACUCCAUUCCACAUCCUUGAUAUAUACAUAAUACCACUAUUUACUUGUUUACUCAUAACAAGUUGUUCACUUGAGUCAUAAUCACUAAAUUAAUUAUAUCUUAAGUUACAGAACUCCAAAUUGAGAUACAAAUUUUUUUUUAUGAAACUAGACUCACAUAUAUUCUUACCAUAAAAUUUUCAGAAUUUUUGGUUUAGCCAAUAAGUACAGUUUAUUCUUUAAAUUUUCACCUGUUUCACUGUUUGACAGUUCCGACUUCUCUUCACUAAAAAUUAAUUAUCUCUUUGUACAGAAUUCGGAUGAUGUUCCUAUUUGUUUCUAUUGAAAAUAGACUCAUUCAGGAUUUUAAACAUAUAAAUUUAAGCCUCUAAUUAGUUUUAUUCAAUUUUUGAUGAUUUUCCAAAGUCAGAACAGGGGAACCCAAAUUCAUUCUGAUAUUGUAUCACAAAAUUUAUUAUAUCUCAUGAUUUAGAAUUCCAUUACUUACACCGUUUCUUUUAUGAGAAACUAGACUUAAUAAUAUUUAAUUUCAUAUUUUUUUCAUCCUAGAAUUCGAUUUCCAUAAUUUAUGUUAAUUUUUCAAAGUUAACCUACUGUUACUGUCCAAAACUGUUUUAGUGCAAGAUGUUUAUUACCAUGUUUAUAACACCCUUAUUUUCUUUCUCUACACUAUUUCUCAUCACUUUCUCUUCACUAACAUAUCAAGAACAUAGGACCAUAUAUACGAAAACUUUACAUUAACAUCAUUUGCAUACUUUUUCAAUAAUAUCAAACUUAAAAAUAUAUUAAAAUCUUGAUGUUCUUACCUUGUCAUAUUGAUUUCAAUCUUUAACUUGAUUUUCUCUCUCCUCCAGCUUCUAUUUCUUGAAUCUAACUUGAUAUUCUAGCUCCCCAUAGUCUCCUUGUUAUAUUUCUGUCUUGAUGGAUAUGUAAAUUCUUUUGAUUUUUAGAUGAAAAUGGUAAAUUUUUUGUGGAAAAACCAAAUUGUAAAGAAAGCAAAACUUUUUUUUUCUCUCUUUUUCUCACGUUGUGCAUGGGAAAAGUGGUGGGUUGGAUGAUUCUUCAUCUCCCUUUUCUUAUAUAUAUACUAAAUAAAAUAAUAAUAAAAUAAUAAAAUAUCAUUUAAAAAUCAAAUUAAAAUAUUAAUAAACUAAUAUUUAUUUAUUUAAUUAAUCUAAAAUAUCUCCAACAUCAUCAUUAUCUUCUAGAUUUCUCUCUCUUCUAAUUGACCAUUUUGCCCUUCAUGAUCUUUUAAAAUUCCAUCCUUGAGUCAUCACUUAAUUUGGUAAAAUUGAGAUUUAGUCCCUCAAAAUUCUUCACCUUUUUCAAUUUGGUCAUAAUCCAUCCAUUUUCCUUAGUUUCUAAAUCAUUCCACCCUUAAAAUAUUUACACCAUUGGUCCUUCAACUUUUUCAUAUUUACACUUUAACACCUCAAAUUUUGAGUAUUUACUCUUGGGCAACAAAACUUUUCUCACUUUUGCGAUUUAAUCCUUUCUUGAACUAAUAUGUCAUAAUAUACUUCCCAAUGUUGACAUAACUCCAAAAUUUCCCCCUUUUUUGUCGUUUUAUUUCCUUAUUUUAUUAUAUCAAAGGUAAUAUCUUACUGUAAAAAUUUUUGGGGUAUUACAAAAAAUUACCAAAUUCUAAUACAAAGAUUAAAUCCACAACUUUUGUAAAAAUACAUAAAUUUAAUUAGGGAAAUAAUUUUACAUUUUUUCAUAUUUGUUCUAAGAAAAUUAGUUUAAUCAAUAAAAUAUAACCCUCUAUUUGAAAAACAAAAAAAUUAAGUGCUAAAAAAUUAAAUAUAAAAAAAUUUAAGUGAUAAUUCAAGUUAUAAAACAUGUUUGAGAAAAAAAAAAUUAAGGGUUGUUAUAAAACAUGUUUGGUAUAUUAUUAGAUAUCAGAAAAUUAGGUGUUCUUAUAAAACAUGUUUGACAUUAUUUAAAAUUAACAUAAUAUAAUUAAACUAUAUGAAGAGGAAUAAUAUAAUUUUUUUAAAAAUAAAAUAAAAUAAUGUAAUGUAUUUUAUUAAGUGAUAAGCAGAUCCUAUUUUUUUUGCAAAAAAAAAAAAUCUACGGUUAUCAAACUUGUUUUAAUUAAAUGAUUGAAAAUAUUAAUUCUAAUUAGAUUAUUUUUUAAUAGCUUAUCAAAUAGGGCCUGAGUUAACCUCUUUUUUUUUUUUAAAUUGUCUUUCACUUUUGAUUAUGGUAGUCAAUAUCGUACCAAUAUUGGUCGAUAUUGUUUCAAUCUUAAAUCAAUACCAAAUAUUCUAUGUUCCGUUUUGAUCACAAUUUUGGUGCAUUUUGGUCAUUUCAGUGUAUUCCCCCAAUUUCAGUCAAUAUUGGCUUGUAUUUGCCCGUACUGGUUGGUACAAAAUUUUGGCAUUUCAAACCAAUUUUUAAUAUUUUUAUUUUACCCAUUUUAUUUUUCCAUAAUUAUAUUUAAAAAUAAAAAUUACUAAAUUUAUUUAUUCAACUUAAUUAAUAAUUUUAAAGUUUAUAUUUAUGUAUAAAUAUAUUUAUAUGAAUGUAAAUGAAAUAUAUUUACAUGUAUAUAAAAUGUAUAAUUUAUUUUUUGACAAAAAAACAUAUAAUUUCUGAAGAAACUAAAACUUAGGCUAUAAAUAUAUAUGUGAAAAAUAUUUAAAUGUAUAUAUAAUUUAUCAAGAAAUUAAAAAUUAGAUUAUAUAUAUGUAUAUGCGAACAAUAUUUAAAAGUAUCAAUAAACC
Molecule: long non-coding RNA, 24453 nt
Filed under: Gossypium barbadense (sea-island cotton)
Lineage: Eukaryota; Viridiplantae; Streptophyta; Magnoliopsida; Malvales; Malvaceae
Description: long non-coding RNA (GBAR_LNC021017)
Source: RNAcentral